This 429-nucleotide ribosomal RNA is filed under the name uncultured bacterium. Its description in RNAcentral is "bacterial SSU rRNA". It matches the Rfam family "Bacterial small subunit ribosomal RNA", at positions 355 to 775 of the family's 1533-position model. The record is from RNAcentral.
UGGGGAAUUUUGCGCAAUGGGCGAAAGCCUGACGCAGCAACGCCGCGUGAGUGAUGAAGGCUUUCGGGUCGUAAAGCUCUGUCAAGGGGAAAGAAGUGUAGAGUGGUUAAUACCCGCUUUACUUGACGGUACCCCUGAAGGAAGCACCGGCUAACUCCGUGCCAGCAGCCGCGGUAAUACGGGGGGUGCAAGCGUUGUUCGGAUUUAUUGGGCGUAAAGCGCGUGUAGGCGGUUUGUUAAGUCUGAUGUGAAAGCCCUGGGCUCAACCCAGGAAGUGCAUUGGAUACUGGCAGACUUGAAUACGGGAGAGGGUAGUGGAAUUCCUGGUGUAGGAGUGAAAUCCGUAGAUAUCAGGAGGAACACCGGUGGCGAAGGCGGCUGCCUGGACCGAUAUUGACGCUGAGACGCGAAAGCGUGGGUAGCAAACAG